AAGACUAUACUUUCAGGGAUCAUUUCUAUAGUUUGUUACUAGAAAAAUGAACAUUCUGAGGUCCACUACAGACCUCCUAAUUAAAAUCUCUUAGACUAAAUUAGGAAUUUUUUUUUAAUCCUACAGAGUUGUCACUCCUGGUGGCCUUUGUUUUCCAUUUUAUUGGGAGAGAAAUUGAAAGAGAAGGGAGAGGGAG
This 196-nucleotide small nucleolar RNA is filed under the name Erinaceus europaeus (western European hedgehog). RNAcentral's name for it is "Small nucleolar RNA U3". The stretch from base 1 to 106 matches the Rfam family "Small nucleolar RNA U3". From Rfam's summary of the family: Small nucleolar RNAs (snoRNAs) are involved in the processing and modification of rRNA in the nucleolus. There are two main classes of snoRNAs: the box C/D class, and the box H/ACA class. U3 snoRNA is a member of the box C/D class. Lineage: Eukaryota; Metazoa; Chordata; Mammalia; Eulipotyphla; Erinaceidae. The record is from Rfam by way of RNAcentral.